Molecule: long non-coding RNA, 1342 nt
Filed under: Felis catus (domestic cat)
Lineage: Eukaryota; Metazoa; Chordata; Mammalia; Carnivora; Felidae
Description: lncRNA (ENSFCAG00000050755.1)
Source: RNAcentral
CUAAAUUCCAUUAUACUUAGCAUGAUGUGACAUUAGUAUGCAAAGAGAUGAAAUUAUACUGAUAGGGCUAAUUUAAAAGAACAAUCCAAAACAACUGAUUCACACACACACACACACACACACACACACUCGGAAGUGACUGAAAAUUGAAAAAAAAUUUUAAUCUCAUUAGAUUUAUACAGUUUAUAAUAACAACAUAAUGUAAUUCUGCACCUAUUAGCUGCAGAUAAUCCCAUUACAUUUGAGGAAGGGAGGGAUGGUCACAGUUCCUCGUGGUAAGGCCAAGUCCUUGGAGCUCCUCUUGCCGUCCAUGGGCACAGAGGUUGCCUUUUCACAAGGGUCCCUGCACCCCUGGCUCUGAUGUGGUCACCCUGUUGAGAGCUACCUUCCUGACAUGUUAAUCCCCAUCUCUCCUAUGUGGAUGAUGUCACAAAGGUCACAGCACUCUGUAAGAGUUCCGGCUGCUAUAACAGAAUACUAUAGGUCGGGUGGUUUAUAAAACAAACAAACAAAAAAACCCAGGAAUUUAUUUCUCACAGUUCUGGAGGCUGGACGUCCAAGAUCAAGGUACCUGCAGAUUCUGUGUCUAGUGAGGCACUGAUUCUGGUUCACAGACAUCUCUGUCCUCACUGUGUCCUCACGUUGGUGAAGGGGUGAGCGAGUUCUCCGGGUUCUCUUCUUAAAAGGGCCCUGAUCUAAUUCACGUGGAAGCACCUUCUGACUUAAUCACCUCCCAGAGGCCUCACCUCCAAAUGCCAUCACAUUGGGGAUCAGGUUUCAACAUAGACACAGACAUUCAAGUCUGGGAGGGGGGACACAGACAUUCAAGUCUGGGAGGGGGGACACAGACAUUCAAGUCUGGGAGGGAGCAGCAUGGAGGCCUGCUUUGCUUCUGGUCUUUCAGCCUGGGAGGACGCUGCCCUCCCUUGCUUUUGCAGCUUCUUAUGGAAACUGAGACCAAUGAUUUAACAUAAUUCUUCCUAAAGGAUGAAUUCUUAGAAACAGCCUCCCAAGACUAAUUCAUGAAGAGAUUAAAAAUAUGGACAGAUAGAUUACUAAAGAGGAAAAUGAAUCAGUAAUCAAAAAUCUCCCAGCAAAAAAAGUCCAGAACCAGAUGGCUUCACUGGUAAAUUCUACCAGACAUUUAAAGAACUAACACCAAUACUUCUCGGAUUCUUCCAAAAGACAGAAGAGGAAGAAGCACUUCCAAACUCAUUUUAUGAGACCAGCAUUGCCCCCAACAAAAUCAGACAAGGAUGCCAUAAGAAAAUUAUAGGCCUAUGUUUCUGAUGAACAUAUAUGCAAAAUUCCUGAAUAAAAUAUUUACUAAAUAAAUUGAGCA